CCUGGCGCGGCCGGGCUUCCUGCUUUUGUUCUUUUCGUGCCCUCCGAGCAGCGGGCGGAGAGGGUGACAUUGACGCUUGGAACACCCCACCACCCCCGCCCCCGUUCUGCAGAACCUUAAAAGAUUUUUUUAAAUUUUCCAAAGCCUUCUAAAUAAGAGGACGGUGUUUUUCUUCCUUCCUUUGCCGUCGACAUCACGGCCGUAGCAAUAAGCAGACAAGCUAAAAGUGGCCUGAAAACUACUUUUCACCAAACUACUGAAUCAAUGGUAUAUGUCAGGGGUGGGUUCUACUUACCUUUAUUAUCGGUUCGCAACGGGGCCAUGCAUGCGCAGAAGCAUCCUGAUGACGUCGGGGUCGGUGGACGGAGCCUCCCGCCAGUUUUACUACCGGUUCUAUAGAACCGGGGGCAACCCACCACUGGUAUAUAUGAAAAUAUUUCACUAUCAUCAAGCAUUAGCAGGAAAAUUCUUGGAGAUACCUUGAUUCUUGGAGACCGCCUGGACAAUCCCUGCAAUUUUCUUGGCAAGGUUUUUUGGAAGUGGCUUGCCAUUGCCUCCUUCCUUGGACUGAGAGACAGUGACUAGCCCAAGGUUACACUAUUGGUUUUGUACUCAAGACAUAAUGUACAGAUAAAGCCCUUCAUGGCAUGGAUCCAGGUUACAUGAGGAACUCUCACCGAGGUAGGACUACACCAGCAGAGAGGGGAUACUAUGGAUCCUGUUGAUCAAGAAAUUAUGACUGUGGAAUCCAGGAGAAGAUCAAUCUCUGACAUGGCUCCUGCCCUUUGGAAUAUCUUACUAUCUCAGAUGGUGGGAAGAUAGAAAGUCACCAUAUUUUCCCAAGCUUAUUAUAUCUGAACCAGGAAACCAAGACUCUGCUCUGAUGCCUCUUCUAACAGUUACUCUCAGAUUAUAGUAUCUUCCUAUAUAUGGCAACUCAAGAUUUUAGAAGCAUUGUCCAGAUUUUGGUGUAGAAAUGUGAUGGAGAAAAAUACUUCAACAAGGAAGUUUUCUUCCUGAGCCACAUUUGAGAAAGAACAGCAUCUUUAAUUAAGGAAUUGAUGAAAGAGUUCAGGAUUAACCAUCUUCUUGCAGUAUUGUUUCCCAACCUAAAUCAUUCUACCAGAGCAAUGUGUAGCAAGCAAGAUAAUUUGGGUUCAAGUAAACCUGAUAUUUGUUACAAGAAGACAGCAAAACCACCCAGCAGCCACAACUGGAACCCUCCAGAUGUGUCAAGACUGCAGCUUUCAGUAUUCCAUAGUCCAGUGAUGGCAAAUCUUUUUGGCACUGAAUACCCAAACCGGAACAUGCAUGUGCACAUGUAUGUGCACCAGUGGUUAUUAAUGCUAAAAGUGGGAAUUGCUAUCAAAUUGCUGAACAAUAAAAAGGCCAAAGUAUCAAAAAUUGCUAUUAUCUCUGCAACAAAGAUUAUAUGACAUGUGUGAAGAAAAAGCCAGAAUGAAUUCAGUGUAUGUCUCCUGAAGGCAAAUGAUAUUAACAAAUAUUAUAAAAAGCAGUGGCAGUAAACAGAAAAUAUUUCAAGGUA
Molecule: non-coding RNA, 1546 nt
Organism: Pantherophis guttatus
Lineage: Eukaryota; Metazoa; Chordata; Lepidosauria; Squamata; Colubridae
Source: RefSeq, a predicted model, not a curated record